UCGGAUAUAGUGUAACGGCUAACAUUACCGCCUUUCAUCCAUACUGAGCAUCAUAUUCGAGGCGUGGUAGCUCAGGGGUUCGAUUCCCAUGUGACCGAA
This is a non-coding RNA of Desarmillaria tabescens, 99 nucleotides long. The record is from the annotation of a RefSeq genome assembly. NCBI's taxonomy places the organism in Eukaryota, Fungi, Basidiomycota, Agaricomycetes, Agaricales, Physalacriaceae.